RNAcentral lists this ribosomal RNA (387 nucleotides) under uncultured bacterium. RNAcentral describes it as "bacterial SSU rRNA". It matches the Rfam family "Bacterial small subunit ribosomal RNA", at positions 28 to 417 of the family's 1533-position model. The record is from RNAcentral.
GACGAACGCUGGCGGCGUGCUUAACACAUGCAAGUCGAGCGGUAAGGCCCUUUCGGGGGUACACGAGCGGCGAACGGGUGAGUAACACGUGGGUGACCUGCCCUCAGCUCUGGGAUAAGCCUGGGAAACCGGGUCUAAUACCGGAUAUGACUCCAUGACGCAUGUUGUGGGGUGGAAAGCCUUGUGCGGCUGAGGAUGGGCCCGCGGCCUAUCAGCUUGUUGGUGGGGUGANGGCCUACCAAGGCGACGACGGGUAGCCGGCCUGAGAGGGCGACCGGCCACACUGGGACUGAGACACGGCCCAGACUCCUACGGGAGGCAGCAGUGGGGAAUCUUGCGCAAUGCGCGAAAGCGUGACGCAGCAACGCCGCGUGGGGAAGACGGCCU